CUGGGCGUAAGCGUCUGUAGGUGGUUUGUUAAGUUGAAUGUUAAAUUUACGGGCUCAACUCGUGAACCGCAUUCAAUACUGGCAAACUCGAAGGUGGAAGAGGUAAGCGGAAUUAGUGGUGGAGCGGUGAAAUGCGUAGAUAUCACUAAGAACACCAAUGGCGAAGGCAGCUUACUGGGCCAUUCUUGACACUGAGAGACGAAAGCGUGGGGAGCGAUCGGGAUUAGAUACCCCGGUAGUCCACGCCGUAAACGAUGAUCACUAGCUGUUCGGGGUGUCGACCCCCUGAGUAGCGAAGCUAACGCGUUAAGUGAUCCGCCUGGGGAGUACGGUCGCAAGACUAAAACUCAAAGGAAUUGACGGGGACCCGCACAAGCGGUGGAACGUGUGGUUUAAUUCGAUGCUAAGCGAAAAACCUUACCGAGGCUUGACAUCUCUGGAAAGCCUAAGAAACUAGGCCGUGCCGAAAGGAACCAGAUGACAGGUGCUGCAUGGCUGCCGUCAGCUCGUGUUGUGAAAUAUUCGGUUAAGUCCGUCAACGAGCGCAACCCUCAUCUUAUGUUGUAUUUCUCAUAAGAGACUGCCCUGGUCAACAGGGAGGAAGGCGGGGAUGACGUCAAGUCAGCAUG
Molecule: ribosomal RNA, 629 nt
Filed under: uncultured bacterium
Lineage: Bacteria
Description: bacterial SSU rRNA
Rfam family: Bacterial small subunit ribosomal RNA
Source: RNAcentral